RNAcentral lists this ribosomal RNA (445 nucleotides) under uncultured Hyphomicrobiales bacterium. RNAcentral's name for it is "bacterial SSU rRNA". It matches the Rfam family "Bacterial small subunit ribosomal RNA", at positions 335 to 797 of the family's 1533-position model. Lineage: Bacteria; Pseudomonadati; Pseudomonadota; Alphaproteobacteria; Hyphomicrobiales. The record is from RNAcentral.
CGACCUACGGGUGGCAGCAGUGGGGAAUAUUGGACAAUGGGCGCAAGCCUGAUCCAGCCAUGCCGCGUGAGUGAUGAAGGCCUUAGGGUUGUAAAGCUCUUUUGUCCGGGAAGAUAAUGACUGUACCGGAAGAAUAAGCCCCGGCUAACUUCGUGCCAGCAGCGGCGGUAAUACGAAGGGGGCUAGCGUUGCUAGGAAUCAAUGGGCGUAAAGGGCGCGUAGGCGGACUUUUAAGUCGGAGGUGAAAGGCCAGGGCUUAACCCUGGAAUUGCCUGCGAUACGGGGAGUCUUGAGUUCGGAAGAGGUUGGUGGAACUGCGAGUGUAGAGGUGAAAUUCGUAGAUAUUCGCAAGAACACCGGUGGCGAAGGCGGCCAACUGGUCCGAAACUGACGCUGAGGCGCGAAAGCGUGGGGAGCAAACAGGAUUAGAUACCCUGGUAGUCCG